Molecule: non-coding RNA, 28 nt
Filed under: Rattus norvegicus (Norway rat)
Lineage: Eukaryota; Metazoa; Chordata; Mammalia; Rodentia; Muridae
Source: RNAcentral
UGAGACACAUGAGCCACCCUCCUCUAUC